Molecule: ribosomal RNA, 464 nt
Filed under: uncultured bacterium
Lineage: Bacteria
Description: partial 16S ribosomal RNA
Rfam family: Bacterial small subunit ribosomal RNA
Source: RNAcentral
GAUGAACGCUGGCGGCGUGCUUAACACAUGCAAGUCGAACGGAAAGGCUCCUGCUUGCAGGGGUACUCGAGUGGCGAACGGGUGAGUAACACGUGGGUGAUCUGCCCUGCACUUCGGGAUAAGCCUGGGAAACUGGGUCUAAUACCGGAUAGGACGAUGGUUUGGAUGCCAUUGUGGAAAGUUUUUCGGUGUGGGAUGAGCUCGCGGCCUAUCAGCUUGUUGGUGGGGUAAUGGCCUACCAAGGCGUCGACGGGUAGCCGGCCUGAGAGGGUGUACGGCCAAAUUGGGGCGUGAAUACGGCCCAGACCCCUAGGGGGGGGCGGGGGGGGGAAUUUUGCACAAUGGGGGAAAGCCUGAUGCGCGGGCGCCGGGGGGGGGGUGGCGGCCUUCGGGUUUUAAAACCCUUUCCCUGGGGACGAAGGCCAAGGGGCGGUCCCUGGAAAAGAAGCCCCGGCUAACUACGU